GAUGAACGCUGGCGGCGUGCCUAAUACAUGCAAGUCGAGCGAACGGACGAGAAGCUUGCUUCUCUGAUGUUAGCGGCGGACGGGUGAGUAACACGUGGAUAACCUACCUAUAAGACUGGGAUAACUUCGGGAAACCGGAGCUAAUACCGGAUGAUAUUUUGAACCGCGUGGUUCAAAAGUGAAAGACGGUCUUGCUGUCACUUAUAGAUGGAUCCGCGCUGCAUUAGCUAGUUGGUAAGGUAAUGGCUUACCAAGGCAACGAUGCAUAGCCGACCUGAGAGGGUGAUCGGCCACACUGGAACUGAGACACGGUCCAGACUCCUACGGGAGGCAGCAGUAGGGAAUCUUCCGCAAUGGGCGAAAGCCUGACGGAGCAACGCCGCGUGAGUGAUGAAGGUCUUCGGAUCGUAAAACUCUGUUAUUAGGGAAGAACAUAUGUGUAAGUAACUGUGCACAUCUUGACGGUACCUAAUCAGAAAGCCACGGCUAACUACGUG
RNAcentral lists this ribosomal RNA (497 nucleotides) under uncultured bacterium. RNAcentral describes it as "partial 16S ribosomal RNA". It matches the Rfam family "Bacterial small subunit ribosomal RNA", at positions 28 to 507 of the family's 1533-position model. The record is from RNAcentral.